Molecule: ribosomal RNA, 253 nt
Filed under: uncultured bacterium
Lineage: Bacteria
Description: partial 16S ribosomal RNA
Rfam family: Bacterial small subunit ribosomal RNA
Source: RNAcentral
UACAGAGGUGGCAAGCGUUGUUCGGAAUUACUGGGCGUAAAGGGCGCGUAGGCGGCCAUCUAAGUCAGACGUGAAACCCCCCGGCUUAACCUGGGAACUGCGUCUGAUACUGGGAGGCUUGAGUAUGGGAGAGGGAUGUAGAAUUCCAGGUGUAGCGGUGAAAUGCGUAGAUAUCUGGAGGAAUACCGGUGGCGAAGGCGGCAUCCUGGACCAUAACUGACGCUGAGGCGCGAAAGCUAGGGGAGCAAACGGG